AUUGAACGCUGGCGGCAUGCCUUACACAUGCAAGUCGAACGGUAACGCGGGGCAACCUGGCGACGAGUGGCGAACGGGUGAGUAAAGCAUCGGAACGUGCCCAGUAGUGGGGGAUAGCCCGGCGAAAGCCGGAUUAAUACCGCAUACGACCUAUGGGUGAAAGGGGGGGAUCGCAAGACCUCUCGCUAUUGGAGCGGCCGAUGUCAGAUUAGGUAGUUGGUGGGGUAAAGGCCUACCAAGGCGACGAUCUGUAGCUGGUCUGAGAGGACGACCGGCGGCACUGGGACUGAGACACGGCCCAGACUCCUACGGGUGGCAGCAGUGGGGAAUUUUGGACAAUGGGCGCAAGCCUGAUCCAGCCAUGCCGCGGGCGGGAAGAAGGCCUUCGGGUUGUGAACCGCUUUUGUCAGGGAAGAAAUCCUUUGGGUUAAUACCUCGGGGGGAUGACGGUACCUGAAGAAUAAGCCCUUACUAACUACGUGCCAGCCGCCGCCGUAA
This 498-nucleotide ribosomal RNA is filed under the name uncultured bacterium. RNAcentral's name for it is "partial 16S ribosomal RNA". It matches the Rfam family "Bacterial small subunit ribosomal RNA", at positions 29 to 523 of the family's 1533-position model. The record is from RNAcentral.